RNAcentral lists this ribosomal RNA (253 nucleotides) under uncultured bacterium. Its description in RNAcentral is "partial 16S ribosomal RNA". It matches the Rfam family "Bacterial small subunit ribosomal RNA", at positions 524 to 776 of the family's 1533-position model. The record is from RNAcentral.
UACAGAGGUCUCGAGCGUUGUUCGGAUUCAUUGGGCGUAAAGGGCACGUAGGCGGCGGGGUAAGUCUGGUGUGAAAUCUCGGAGCUCAACUCCGAAAUUGCACUGGAUACUGCUCUGCUAGAGGGCUGGAGAGGAGAUCGGAAUUCACGGUGUAGCAGUGAAAUGCGUAGAUAUCGUGAGGAAGACCAGUGGCGAAGGCGGAUCUCUGGACAGCUCCUCACGCUGAGGCGCGAAGGCUAGGGGAGCAAACGGG